GUCCCUACUGCUGUCCUCCCACAACAUAACUCCACUGUGACAAAUUUGGAUUUCUCAGUAGUGUUUUCAUGUUUUUGGCAGAGAGGAAAGGAAUAGGACCCCAAUACCAAAUCCGACAUGGAAGGAAAACGAGCCAGUAGCAUGCAGCUCGCACACCCACAAAUCCGGGAAGGUUAUCCACUGCUUUCCUAGCUAAAACGCAAGAUGUUUGGAGGAAGUCUGCCUGGAAAACACAAAGUGAAACACCACUCUCCCCACUCUUUAAACAUAAACUUAAUUUAAGCCAAACCUGCAACCCCCAGGAUAAGCUGGGGAUUAAAUAUGGAAUAUUUAGGACAGAGAAGGAAAUGAAUCAAUGCUCACUCGAUCUGACAAGGAAACCUCAUGUGGAGUUCAGAGAACAGGUGAGGGCUUCAGACUAUCUGAAUGUUUCCACUUGUGAGGAGGGAACAAAGAAAUGCCUGCCUGUCACCAUCUCUGCUUUGUCCCCAGAGGGAUCUCCGGGAUACCAAAUCCAUCACGAGCCACAACCAUCUGCCACCAUCCACUGAGGCUUUUGUAGCUCGUGUCACCCCUGGAAAAACAGCAUUUCUCUGCAUCUUGGGCUAGGCAGCCACGUCUCAUUUGGGAGUGACAAAAUGGCAGCAGAUCCCUUGGAGCCCAUCCUCACAGCCCAAAUGUGGAGCAGCUCAAGAACACACUUGAUGGACCCAACACUCUGGUUUAAUUUGGUAAUUUUUCAAUAUCUUCCAGGUUCGAGUGGGAGAUGAAGAUGACUUAUGGAAGCACCUGAGAACCAGCCUGGUGGUCACCUGUGAUAGCAGGGACCUGGCGGAUUACAACCCAGCCGUCUGCCUGUGAUGCUGGCCAAAUCAUGCCGUCCUCCACGACUGCCAGGGAAGAGGAAUUAGGAGGUGCAGCUCUACAAAAAUACAUUUUGACAAAUGCUGUCAACUUGCCACUUUUGACAUUGAAUAAUUUAUGAGAGAAACAGAACAGAUAGACCCACAGAUCAAAGGAUUUUACACAUAGUCUAAGAUGAAUGACGUGUGUGUGAAACACCCAGCCCUCCAAAGAAGCACCUCUCCACGGCUCUCCAGAAGGACUGUCAACUGGACAGAGACGUUCCGUUUACUCCACAACUACACAACUGCAAUUUAGGGCCAUGUGACCCUCAGUUUAGGCAGGAAAGGAGUUUGGAGAACACCAUGGCGACUUGUUUAAAAAAAAAAAAAAAAAAAGCCAAAC
Long non-coding RNA from Felis catus (domestic cat), 1248 nucleotides. RefSeq lists it as uncharacterized. The transcript is spliced from 2 exons. Lineage: Eukaryota; Metazoa; Chordata; Mammalia; Carnivora; Felidae. The record is from RefSeq and is a predicted model, not a curated record.